RNAcentral lists this small RNA (5700 nucleotides) under Pan troglodytes (chimpanzee). Its description in RNAcentral is "retained intron". Lineage: Eukaryota; Metazoa; Chordata; Mammalia; Primates; Hominidae. The record is from RNAcentral.
AUGCCAAUAUCUGAUCCUUACAGUAACUGGGAUCCAGCCAGAGGUAAAGAUUCCUAGAAAAAUUGUCUCUGUCUAGACCAAGCCCAUUCAACCCACAGCCCACAGGCCAGGAUGGCUUUGAAUGUGACCCAACGCAAAUUCAUAAACCUUCUUAAAACAUGAGAUUUUGUUUCUGUGAUUUUUUUUUAACUCAUCAGCUAUCAUUAGUGUUAAUAUAUUUUAUGUGUGACCCAAGACAAUUCUUCUUCCAACGUGGCCCAGGGAAGCCAAAAGAGUGGACACCCCUGCUCUAGACCAUCAUCAGUCCUUCCUGGCCAGUGUCCUGUCUGCAGAGUAAAGGUUUGUAGGCUUCUCAGCAAGCGUCAAAGAUACUAGUUUUCUUUAAAUUUCCGUGAAAUAAAAUAAAUGUCUUGGGUUUCAAAAAUUGUACAAUUGGGAACAUCUUUGAAUGUUUUUUUUUAAGAGACAGCAUCUCAUUCUUGUCACCCAGACUGGAGUGCACUGGUGUAAUCAUUGCUCACUGGAGCCUCAAGCUCCUGGGCUCAAGCAAUCCUCCUGCCUCUGCCUCCCAUGUAACUGAGACUACAGGUGUGCACCAGCCUGCCCAGCUAAUUUUUAAAACAUUUUUUAGAGAUGGGGUCUUGCUGUGUUACACAGGCUGUUCUUGAACUCCUGGCCUCAAGUGAUCCUCCUGCCUUUGCCUCCCAAAGCCCUGGGAUUACAGGCCUGAGCCACUGUGCCUGGCCAGGACUUUUUUUUUUUUAACUGUGUGUGUCAGGUUGUCUUGAACACCAUGGCGACUCCCUCAGACUUUUUCGUGUCUUAUUCCUUGGUAAGAAGGAGCUUUCUAGCUCUGAGACUAGGCAAUUAGGACGGUUCUCUGAGGCAUUGUCUGUACACAGAGUGUCAGUCAGGUGCCAUAUGUAGAGAGUCGUUGAAUAAUUCAGCCGGCUAAUGUCCAAGACGUCAGUACUUCGCUCCUUUCUUCCCGUUUUGUGAGACGGUCCCGGUGGACUGUAUAACCACUAUCCAACUUCGCUUCCAGGUUUUAUUUGCACCAAAGUAUGGAGCACUUUCCCCCCUUGCCUGCAUUCUGAUGUAUUUGUUUUCAUUUUGUUUUAGAGAGCUUUGCUUCCCAAGUUUCUCCUUCGAGGACAUCUCAACUCAACAAACUGUGUCAUCACACAGCCGCUAACGGGAGAGCUGGUGGUGGAGAGCUCGGAAGCCGCCAUCAGAAGCGUGGAGCUGCAGCUGGUGCGCGUGGAGACAUGCGGGUGUGCAGAAGGCUACGCCCGCGACGCCACGGAGAUUCAGAACAUUCAGAUCGCCGACGGGGAUGUGUGCAGGGGCCUCUCUGUCCCCAUCUACAUGGUCUUCCCUAGGCUGUUCACCUGCCCUACACUGGAGACCACCAACUUCAAAGUGGGUAAGUGGCACUCGCCUCCAGCCCUCAUGGGCCCAUGGGAAGGGCCGCUCAGCGCCAGGGCCUGCUGUGGGUCACAUAGCUCAGAGCCUGCCGCCCUUCGGUCCCUCAGUGCCAGGGCCUGCCACAGGCCAUACAGCUCAGAGCCUGCUGCCCUUCGGCUGCUCAACAAAACCUUGUUAAGGAGCUGCUGUGCCGCACAAGGGACACACCCACAGGCAGUCCUGGUGCUUGUGGGACUUCCACUGUCACAUGGGGAAACACACAGACCCACAUCAGUGUAGACAUGGGCAGGUGACGCUGAGCUCUGUGUAGACAUGGGCAGGUGACGCUGAGCUCCGUGUAGACAUGGGCAGGUGCCGCUGAGCUCCGUGUAGACAUGGGCAGGUGACGCUGAGCUCCGUGUAGACAUGGGCAGGUGACACUGAGCUCCGUGUAGACAUGGGCAGGUGAGGCUGAGCUCCGUGAAGAAAACUCCCGUGAGUGAGCACCACAGGAGUGGGGGGUGGUGUGGAUACUGAGAAAGUGGCUCUGUGUGAAGGUCCAGGACCCGUGAAAACCCCAGAGUGAGCGCUCAGCAGCAGGAAGGCCUUGAGCCCUGCGGCCUAGAUGCCUCUAGUGAGUUUCCAUGAACCUGUGUGUUCAUAUUUUAACCAUGGGAUCUGAAUCAGGUCACAGACACCCUUUUAUAUUCUGCCUUUUUCCCUUAACAUUGUAUCAUGAACAUUUCCAUGUUUUUAACUCUUCCUAUAAAUAUUGUAAUGGGACCUCCAUCUUAAUAAGAAUCAUGUUAAUUGGGAGAUCACUCCACACUAUGAAGAAGUAGAACAGAGAGACCCAGUAGGAAGGGACUGAGCCUUCUCAGUAGCAGGGGACCGUGAUUCAGAGAGGCUCGGGGACCUCUAGGUUGGAAGUCAGGAGUGAGCACUGCAUCCACAUCAAGAGCAGCACCUCUGUGUGUUCCCCUCCAAUUCUGUGCAAGUGACCUCAAAUGCACGGUCAGGCCCGAGACUGGAACUCACUCGGACUCUAAGCAGCGCCUGGGUAUCAUGGCGGCUCCAGUGCAGCUGUUUUCCUGCUGUAAAGGAAAGCCCCCGCCAGCUCCCUAUCUUGCCUGCUGGGCAUCCCUCUCUGUCCACUCCAGCCACACCCUCCACCCUUCUGGGGGGCAUAAGAGGGGUGGAGAACCCAUUGAAGGGAGUGGUGGCAGAGGGCUCUAAUGUAGUGACAAUAAAGUGAGGAAGGACAGGCCGGCCACUGCUGGUGGCCGACUCUUCUCGUGGCUGAUGUUUGGGCGGAGGUGGACACUCCCACACGGGGAUGCUGUCCUGCAGACCCCAGCCACAGGUGGGCACUGACUCCAAGGCCCCUUCCACAGCUGAGCUGCCACAGUGUGGGGCUCGGCACAGGGUGCCCUCUGCCCACACGGUGCCCUUCCCACCCCUCGUCACACUGGGGAAGGACGUGGUGCUUGUUUGUCGUCAGGUGCUUCCUCUUCACACACAUCCCUUUUGUUAGGAUCAACAAGGCUCACCCAUAUCAGCUGAAGAGUCGGUGGAGAAGGAAUCCUGUUUGCUGAAAGGUGAUGGAUGAAUAGUAUCCAAUGGAGCAACAAUGAAAUUGUUGCUUCUGAAGACUGUUUCUCACCUGGGGAUUGGGGACAUGAGCCCAGACAGCUAUGCGCUGGUUCACGGUCUGCUAUUUCAUUAAGAACUGUAGGAAAUGUAAAAAUAAGGCAAAGGAAUACCAAUGAAUUGAAAGGGUUCUAGAAUAUCCUUUUUAGGAAAGCAAAGGGACAGGGAAAGUGUAGUUGGUGAAGCCUGAUCACUCAUGUUCCAAGAUGAGAGGACAAAAAUUCACUUAGAGAAAGUUGACAGAGGUAGUCAGACAUCAGCACAGUCAUCUCCACUGGUUUGGCUGAAAGGUCAGGGUGGCGCUGAGGGGACAGCAAUGAAACCCACCCGCACCGGGUGCUCCUUCGCCAUUAGAGCUUCCUGCGACUGCAGUGCUGGUGGCGUGUGCUUUCGCUGCUUGGUAACAGCACAAACCCACCCUCUCUUCUCUUCUCAGAAUUUGAGGUUAACAUCGUGGUGCUUCUUCACCCUGACCACCUCAUCACGGAGAACUUCCCGCUGAAGCUCUGCAGGAUAUAGCCCGGAGGAGGGAAGCAUAGAAAACGGGAGUGGCCAUCUGGAAAUCCAGCUGGUUAUCCAAAUCCUAAGGGGAGCUACAGCCAGCGGCAUAUACUUGUUUUUGUGAUUAUUCUGUAUCAGAAAUGAAACAGACCCUCAAAUUAACUUUCCUUCCUCAUUUCUUGAGGCUUCUGCUUCCAACAGGCACUUCUAAUCAGACCUUUUCUUUGAAAUUCAACAAGAUUUCUUAAUGCUAUUUGCCAAGACCAUUUCACAGAAAACAUUGACUGUGGCUCUUGCCUUAUCUGUUCCUUUUUAGGUACAGUAAAACAAUUGUGACAGCAGUUUGAGCUUGCUGGAGAGUGGCAUCACAGGGACAAAAGGAAACCUCUGACUUGCUAAUGGAUGUAGCCAGGGACUCCCCAUAGCAAAGGGUCUGUGGCCAGUUGACAUCCAGGAUGGCUGCAAGCACACUCGAUGGUCAGGAAGUUUGCAGAUACUCGCCAAGGCAGAGCGCAAAGUGCUAGCCACUGGAAAUGCAUGACUUCCCUCCACCCCUACUCUAUUCUGUAGUUUUUUGGUUUUGUUUCUGAGACGGAGUCUCAGUCUGUCAGCCAGGCUGGAGUGAUCUCAGCUCACUGCAACCUCCACCUCCCAGGUUCAAGCGACUCUCCUGCCUCAGCCUCCCGAGUAGUUGGGAUUACAGGUGACUGCCAUCGCGCCUGGCUAAUUUUUGUAUUUUUAGUAGAGACGGGGUUUCACCAUCUUGGCCAGGCUGGUCUUGAACUCUUGACCUCGUGAUCCACCCGCCUUGGCCUCCCAAAGUGCUGGGAUUACAAGUGUGAGCCACCAUACCCAGCCUCUGUAGUUCUUUUUACAACAUUUUUCAUUAUAACUUUAAAUUUUUUAAGCAACUGGAAAAGUGUUCCUUGCUCUCAUGGGGGGAUUUGGCUGGUGCUGAAGUGUUUCUGAAGUCUCAAGAACUGCCAUAAAAUCUCACGCUGCCAUUUCCCUGAACAGAUACAUACAUAGAGAGAGACAGUUUUCCAAACUGUGUCACGCAGGCUGAGCGCACUGGCAGGAUCACAGCUCACGGCAGCCUCAACCUCCCUGGCUCAAGCGAUCCCUCCCCUUAGCCUCCUGAGUAGCUGAGACUACAGGUGAGUGCCACCACACUCAGCUAAUUUUUAAAUUUUUUGUAGACAGGGUCUCCCUAUGUUGCCCAGGCUGGUCUUGAACUCCUAGACUCAAGUGAUCUUCCUGUCUUGGCCUCCCAAAGUGCUGAGAUUACAGGUGUGAGCCACUGUGCCCAGCAGUUUCCCAGAAUAUAUUUAAAUGCAAAGUUACAUGAGGGGAAAACAUGUAUGUUUGCUCCUGUUGUUACUGGGUAGGUUCUGAACAGCAGAAACCCAUGUGCAGGGUGGGCUGGUGAAGGCCCCUCUCCGCAAGGUGGUAGCAGGAAAAGGUCCUUGACUUGAUGAAUUUGGUCUGCCUCUGAGCCACUGGAGGAAGCUGUUUUGAGCCAGGGAUUUUUGGCCUAAAGCCAGCAUUUCCUCAGUCUCCCUUUGUGGUUCGAAGGAUAUGGACUAUUGCAAUACAUUUCUUCCUUCAAAUCCUGCCACUGUUUUGUUGGCCCACAACUAAUAGGACCUCAAAAUAAGCCAUGCUGCUUUGCACACACACUAGCCUUCUUUUGUACUUUUCAUUCUGGAUGGGCUUGGCCAAAACAGGCUCAGGCCAAAGACCUCCCAAGCUGUAUGUACUUCCAGUAUCCUGAAACAGUGUUUGGUGACGUAAUGCCAAGGGUAAACAAGCCUGAUUUAGGCACUGCUUUAUCCAGGGGCUUCACCCAUGAAAUUAAUAAAACUUAUCUGAGUCACUUGAAACUUGGUUCCCAGAAAAUACAUUUCUGGUUUAUAAUCUCCUUUUAUGCUCACCUGACAUUAAUUAUCUAUCCUUGAUGAUGUGUUUAAACUGAGUAGCAGAAAACAGAGGCCACACUUUCUGGGAAAUUUUAAAGGAAGAAACCAUUUUUAAUGAGAUGAAAAUAUUUAACGAAUUUAAAAAGCUAAUGACAAUUUUGAGAAAAGGUUUGGGAUGUAUAUUGCUAUGUAAUUUAAUAAACUGAUUUUAUGGAUAUAAAUA